This is a long non-coding RNA of Dermacentor andersoni, 1550 nucleotides long. RefSeq lists it as uncharacterized. The record is from RefSeq and is a predicted model, not a curated record. NCBI's taxonomy places the organism in Eukaryota, Metazoa, Arthropoda, Arachnida, Ixodida, Ixodidae.
AGAGCAGUAAUAACUUUAAGGCACAGAGCAGUACAAUGUAUCUGCAUUAGCUGUGCCACUCAUUUUAUGAAGCAAAAUAUACAAUUAAGCGUUUCGAACACAAACCAAAAGUAACGUGCCCAAGACAAAUACCAUAACUGUGAGCCACACGUUGUCAAGAGAACUUGUAGAAUGAUCAUAUUUGUCCACUGCAUGCUUGAGCGGUAUGGUAGCACAUUUUUCCAAGCCCAUGUAAUAUGCAAUAAAUGGAAUUUGGAAGAGCUACGAUUGAAAAUAUGAAGCCCAAGCUCACUGCCACACUUUGACAAAGUGACCUGCCAUCAGGGAAACAUUACAGUCAUUGCCAAGGCAGAGACUCAAAGAAAUGUCUUUUAUACAAUUUAGAACUUCUACCUUUACCUCUGUAAGGCAGCUUACAUCUGUAAAAUUUUACACUAGUAGUUUGCAACUACUCACAACCUCGAGUAUGCUCACGCAAACAUAUGCUACAAGAACUUUCAGCUGACUUUUUCUUUUUGCUGGAUAAUUUUAUCAGAGAUACUAAGUGAAGUAGAUAUGGAAUAUUUGAGGAAACACAACUGUUUGUGCCAUGAGGCCGUCGUAGGCAACAUGGUGAGUGACUGGUCUGAACUAUAGUGGCAGUGCUUGCAAUGAAGUUGAACCUUCAUUAUAGUGGUCGGAUUCGACACGAAAAUACAUUCGUUAUGAGCAUAAAUUCACUGCACACUGAUAUCUACAAGAAAAUUUUUAUAUUUACUUCACUACAUCCAAUAAUUCGAUUUAACUGAGUUUGUUAUGCCAAGGUUUGACUGUAUAUUUGAAACUAAUCGGAUAACAGUACCAACCACUUAGAUGUAGUCAUAUGUGGCAUGAACUCCCCAAAAAUGGUCACUGAUAUAUGUCCAUUGCGUCACAGUGCCAGUCAAGUCCCAAUGAUGUCACUCCGGAAAUGUGCGGCUUGCAAACCCAAAAGUUUCCACUGCACACCUUUGGCCACUCAGUUAACAUUGCUUCAAGACAAGUUUCACUACUGUUCGUGUGACUAAUGGCACCAUGGCAUUGAAAUCCAGUACUGUGCAGUCUUCUCCUGCUUCGGAUGUGCGAAAUGCCUGCUGCAGAGAGAACAGGGUGAUGCAGUUUGGCCCUAUUGACAACAGAUGGCACCGAUCUUCCUUCCGCUGAUAAAAAUUGAAAUUUUUCAUCUGCUCUCACAGAGAAUGUGUACUUCCAAUUUAUUCUGGAUGCAACGGUUGAUUACUGCAUCAGAACAUGGCAAACAAAGUGUGCUGUGAAGAGCCACUUCUGUUUAAUAUAUGUCUUUAAAUGAGCCAUUAGUCUUACCACAAGGCCAUUUAUACAUAGCUUCAUAAUGGCUGCAAACAACAACAAUAAUAAAAACCACAGACAGAGCAGAGGUUGCAACAUUUCUAUUCAUUUAAUUGUCCAGUGGAUGACAACCGGGUACAAGAAAACUCAAGUGUGUAGAAAAACAAAACAAGAAAAAAUUGAAUCAACCUCAUACUUAACACACAACGGCAACAGACAAAGCA